AAGAGUAUAGUUUAACGGUAAAACGAAGAGCUUCAACCUCUGAAUUCUCUGUUCAAAUCAGAGUACUCUUG
This 71-nucleotide transfer RNA is filed under the name Ceratocystiopsis parva. Its description in RNAcentral is "tRNA-Trp". It matches the Rfam family "tRNA". From Rfam's summary of the family: Transfer RNA (tRNA) molecules are approximately 80 nucleotides in length. Lineage: Eukaryota; Fungi; Ascomycota; Sordariomycetes; Ophiostomatales; Ophiostomataceae. The record is from RNAcentral. RNAcentral also lists the same sequence under 5 other names.